GAUGAACGCUAGCUACAGGCUUAACACAUGCAAGUCGCGGGGCAGCAUGGGGGUUGCUUGCAAUCCCCGAUGGCGACCGGCGCACGGGUGAGUAACGCGUAUCCAACCUGCCCUUCACCACGGGAUAACCCGGCGAAAGUCGGACUAAUACCGUAUGUUGUCCAUUGACGGCAUCCGAUUUGGACGAAAGGCUUGGCGGUGAGGGAUGGGGAUGCGUCCGAUUAGCCAGACGGCGGGGUAACGGCCCACCGUGGCUACGAUCGGUAGGGGUUCUGAGAGGAAGGUCCCCCACACUGGAACCGAGACACGGUCCAGACUCCUACGGGAGGCAGCAGUGAGGAAUAUUGAUCAAUGGGCGUAAGCCUGAACCAGCCAAGUAGCGUGCAGGAGGACGGCCCUAUGGGUUGUAAACUGCUUUUAUGCGGGGAUAAAGUGGCCCACGGGUGGGCUUUUGCAGGUACCGCAUGAAUAAGGACCGGCUAAUUCCGUG
Molecule: ribosomal RNA, 490 nt
Filed under: uncultured bacterium
Lineage: Bacteria
Description: partial 16S ribosomal RNA
Rfam family: Bacterial small subunit ribosomal RNA
Source: RNAcentral